GGUUGGGCUCGGUUUCUUCCUGGCAGGAGGGGUUUAUUUCCAGUACCACAGGCAGGGCAUGUAAAUAUUAUUUGUUUCCUCAAUUGGCUGCUGCUCUGCAGAUCUUCUUCCCAGCACGUUGUGUUCAGAGCAUCCCCAGCUGACGUGACCCGCGCAACAGAGCAGCAGUGUUUUUCCUUCUCAGCCCUCCAUUUUCCAUUCUAUUUCAGACCAAACUACCAAAGUCUUUGCACAUAGGAUGGUACCAAAGUGAGCCCAUCCAGAGCGAGUAUUCAAGCCAGCAUGUUCCUCUAUGUGCUCUGGUUUUUAAACCCUGCACUCAAGCCUCAGCCUUUUAACACCAAGAUUUCCCUUUCUGACCUUCAAAUGUUCUCAUCCUCGUAUCCCAUCUCUCAAAAGUAGACAUUUUGCACUCAGUUGUAGUUGUUUCCUGGCCUUUGGGUCCGAAGGUUAGACAUUCAUCACUUGAAUUUGUUAUCAACAGCACAUUAUCAACAUCUUUCCAUGUGCCAGGAAAGUGCUACCGGGAACUGGCAGAGCCUUGACCUCUGCAGGAGCAGAUGGCAGCAAGAUUCGCAGUGUGUGAUGGGGAAAAUCCCCUCCUCAUCUUUGUUCUUCUUUGAGCUUUCUGUGUUCUCACCUGAGAUGAUUAUGUACCUCUCUACUUCACCUUUGCGCUGUUGAAAUAACUGUGGCCCCUUGAGGCUGUCUUGCCAUUCUCAGAGAACAAAAAACUUCAUACAACACGUUGAGGAAUAUUUUUCAGGGGUUAUUUAUGAGACAUUUUCCUUGGGUCACCAUCAUAUUUGCAGGAGACAUGAAGUGUAUGUAUAUAAUGUAUAUAAACAUGUAUAUAAUGAAGUUAUACUUCAUUUAGUAGUCAGUUAUAGCAGGCAAGAGGAAGAUCCUCAUUGGUAAUGCAGAUGGCGUCAUUUAUUCCAUGCACUUAAAACUAGUGACCCCAGGCACCACGUACUCCUAUUUGCUACCUAUACAAGCAGGAACAAAUAGCACGUGAGCAAGGAAUUGCAGUCCAGCUGAUCUAACACAGGCUUUGCCUUUCAGUUACUUCUAUUACCCAGAACAGGAAUUAAACUGUGAGCUCUGAGUGGAAAACACCCAAAGCCUUUUCACCCCUGUUUGUUAUACGUUAUCCAAGGUGCUUUAACUGUAUUUUAGAAACCUAUCAUUUCCUCUUGCUUGAAAAAGCAGCUGAAUCAUGCUGCAACUUGAAGAUAGUUUCUUCCUCCUUCAGCUGGUUAGGGAGCAGUCCCGUUAACGAAGGAACAGAGAUGGCCAGAGGUGAUGAUUUCAACCAACUUCACUUAGCUCUUCCUGUUGCAAACUGAUUGAGCAGGUUCCCCUUACCAGUAUAAUUCCACUUACCAGGUUAGGUGUAACUGGACACAUCAGGCUGGUUCCAGUGCCUGCUUCCUCCUGUAAUAAGGUCUAUCUCAAUCAACAUAUUGAACCUAAAAAUCUAUCUGCCAUUGUCGUGGUUUGAGCCCAGCCGGUAACUCAGAACCACACAGCCGCUCGCUCACUCCCCCCCCCCCCCUUCUUCCUCCCCCCCGCUCCAGGAGGGAUGGGGAGGAGAAUGGGAAGAAUGUAACUCCCACGGGUUGAGAUAAGAGCAGUCCCGCAACUAAGGUAUAACACAAAACCACUACUGCUACCACCAAUGAUAAUAACGAUUAGUGAAAUAACAAGGGGAGAGGAUACAAUUGCUCACCACCCGCCGACCGAUACCCAGCCCGACCCGAGCAGUGAUCUGGGCCUUCCGGGUAACUCCCCCCGGUUUAUAUACUGGGCAUGACGUGCUGUGGUAUGGAAUACCCCUUUGGCUAGUUUGGGUCAGGUGUCCUGUCUCUGCUUCCUCC
This 1880-nucleotide long non-coding RNA is filed under the name Strigops habroptila (Kakapo). Its description in RNAcentral is "lncRNA (ENSSHBG00005006543.1)". Lineage: Eukaryota; Metazoa; Chordata; Aves; Psittaciformes; Psittacidae. The record is from RNAcentral.